UACGGAGGGUGCAAGCGUUAUCCGGAUUUAUUGGGUUUAAAGGGUGCGUAGGCGGGACGAUAAGUCAGUGGUGAAAUCCUACAGCUUAACUGUAGAAUUGCCAUUGAUACUGUUGUUCUUGAGUCUAGUUGAAGUUAGCGGAAUGUGGCAUGUAGCGGUGAAAUGCAUAGAUAUGCCACAGAACACCGAUUGCGAAGGCA
RNAcentral lists this ribosomal RNA (200 nucleotides) under uncultured bacterium. RNAcentral's name for it is "partial 16S ribosomal RNA". It matches the Rfam family "Bacterial small subunit ribosomal RNA", at positions 524 to 723 of the family's 1533-position model. The record is from RNAcentral.